Long non-coding RNA from Meleagris gallopavo (turkey), 8041 nucleotides. RefSeq lists it as uncharacterized. NCBI's taxonomy places the organism in Eukaryota, Metazoa, Chordata, Aves, Galliformes, Phasianidae. The record is from RefSeq and is a predicted model, not a curated record.
GUUGCUGUUCUGUUGUGGUCUCUGUAUGUAUUCAGAUAGUACUCUUGACCUUGGCCAAGAUGCAAUGUGAACCUCCUUUGUUUCUCGGAGUUCACUGUGCUAAAUUUUUAUAGCAAAUGUUCAAGACAGUUUACCGGGAUUAUGUGCAAGUUUUUCACCAAACAAUUAUGCACAUCUGCUAUGGAUUUGUCUUUUUUAUGCUAUGUGAAAAUGACUGCUACUCCACGGUUGUCACUAAAAAGACAUGAUAAAAGUUAUGUCUGAAGCUGUGGAUGUUCUGACAAUAUUUCAAAAUAUAUUUGAGGUUUCUUAAUGAUAUAUUCGUAUAUUCAGAAAAGUAAUAGGGUUUGUGUGUCAUUUUUUUGUACAUUUGGCUCUCAGCUAUGUUAGUUGAAGACUGUUACUAAAUGCUCGGUCUGCAAUACGUUUAAUAUUUGGUAGUAAGAGAUGAACUGUAGCCAACAAUACAUGAUGUGUUUUUGUGCGCACACACCUGUUUUUUUUUUGAUGCAGAGGGUCACCAUGCAUCUUCCACAUGAAUUCUAUACAGAUCACCGCAGUUCUCCUAGAGCUUGGGAAGUCCCUGAGGCUGGCAGCAAAAGGUUGUGGCUACUGCAGGGCUUUUCUGUGUUCUGGGGUUCUGAGGCAGCUGAGGAGCCAGCAGUUAGUCCUGGUUGAAGGAAUGCUAUCAGUGACCCCUCUCUCAAUCCAAAAUAAAACACUGUUAAGGUGGAAGAGCCUACGCAAGGAAUGACAUAGUCUGCUGUUACACUAGCUGGUGUGGAUGCAUAAUAGGAUCCAUUACCUUAUUUCAGGCAAUUAAUCAUUUGCAGUAACUCUGGUUGGUGCACACUACCAGUCACCUGACAAGAAAGCGAUUGCAUAGCCCUCUUCAGACUACAACUGUAUUCAGCCCUGAAAGUACUAUUUUGACCUUGGCUUCCUCUUUCCCAACUGGAUUCAGAACAGCACAGAGUUUUAUUUUAGCAAUGGUAAGCUCAGGACUGAUUAUAUUCCCUUCUGGUGCUAGUGAGAAAGCCUUACUAUGACCACUUGAAGCAUUAGUUUCAGAAAGACUCUGACUAAAAUUCAUUCUCUCUGGUGGAAGCCCUUCAGCUCCAUCCUGACAAACCAGCAGUAUGGACGUGCUGCAGGUGUGCCAGAGACUUACAUGCUCAAAAGCUCUUGCAGAAAUUCCACACUGAGGCCCAUCCUGUCUGUUCCAGAUGAGUGCCUGGAUUUCUCAACCUUGCAGGCGGUGCACACAGCCUGCAAGUUCCAACUCAAGGAAGAGCAGAACUUGCUAUGUACUCGUGUGCUUGAGUGACAUCGAGGGGACAGGGCAGCCCCAGCAGGGCCUGGGCACAUGGCCUGCAGGUGAGCUUCCAGUGCUCAGGGAGAAAGUCAGGUGGAGGACAGCAACACCUCGGCUGCUUUCAGAGCAGCACAGACCUGGCUAACGUGCCAGGCUGCUAAUUGCCUGAGAGAAGGCUCUAUGGCACUGUACGUCAAUAGUUCAUGAAAAACCCUGCCUUUUGUGAAGGCAGAAAGCAGACGAAGCAAAUCCACUGAAUUUUACACAGGUCUACCACAAGCACAUGGCGUAGCCAUGGAAAAAUUGGGUUGCAAGAUCUCAGCAAUUUUCAUUUGUAGUCUCUAGUUCAGCAUACUGCAAGGUUGGACUUCAGGUCGUGAUGACACCUCAUGUAAGUGUAAAGUGUAUUGGUUUUAAUGAGCUAUUAUCCUCCAUUCUGGUUGUAACUGUGUAGGUCUCAAAUAAUGCAGUGUGCCAAAUAAUUUGUUUCAUCUGAAAAUUAAAUGAGAAUUUUAAACAUCUGAGAAAGGUAAUAGACUGUGUAUAUUUUUGUGGUGAUUUUUUGCACAUCUUUAUAAUUCAGACAUAAAUGAGGAUGACUCUGUGGCACAUAACUGUAACAAGUGCCUUUAACUACGUUAUGAAAUGUCUCCAUGGCAACAUCCUUUUGCUCAUCGUAUUUAUAGUGAGAAAAAGAAAACAAGCAAAAAUAAUACUAACCCUGAAACCUUUCUGAAAUCUAAGGGUUGAAAGGUAUCUGAAGUCAAGAUUCUGAUCCUUAGAUCACGUUACCAGAGAAAUAAGAACUAGAGGUAAAGGCAGAAUGUUCCUUUCGAUUUUAGCUUUAUAUGAAAAUACCAAGACACUGUGACCAAUUACAACUUGUUUUUAACAGAAGAAAGUUAGAAAAAGGAUGGUGUGUUUGCUGGCUCAUCGUAGAGCUGACCAUGCUGAGUCAGACACACAGGCAUAGCCCCAGAGAGCCAGAGGAGAAACCCCUCUGGAAAUACCCCUUCAAACAUCCUCCUUGUACUUUGGUACCAUGUAAACGCGACUCAGAAUGGACUGGAAUCCUCCUUGUCGGGGCUUUACGGAGCUGCAGUGUUUUACCUGUUCUCUUGCUACCUUCGUUCUGUAAAGUCUUUUGAAAUCUUCAAAAUGCUCGGGUAAAUUGGGAAAAAUAAUUGUGAAAAGGGUGUGUAAGGAUAUCCACACUGAAGAACGGCACUGUAAGUGCUCCUCUCAGUUUAUCCACAGCUGAAGAAUCUUCUAAAUAAUGAUUCAGAACAACAUUUGAUUCCUGGCUCUAAUAUCUGUUCUUGCAUCCCUACCCAUUCCCCUACAGUCUCCACAGCCCUGUUUUAUAGGAACAUUUGAUGAUUGAAUCUGAAAGAUGAGCCCAAUCUCAGCGAAAGGUUCAGCUACAGCUCAAGGCAACAGCAGUGUCUCAGGCCACCAAAAAUGGGCAGAUUCUUAGAUAAUUCACCACCUACAAAUUCCUUGCAGCUGUGGCAAACUGUGUGGAUGAUCUGGAUGUCUAAGCAGUCAUUUUUACUUAGGUAUGAAUACAAGGUCUAGAAUUCAUCUAAUUAUUUUAGGAAUUAUUUGACUUACUUCACUCCAGUUCAUUCCCAUUCAUCUAACUAUUUCAGAACAAGUUCCUUGUUUAUGUUCAAUAUAAAUAGGGAAGGAAACCAAGGGAAAAUAAAAGGAUUCUGAAUUAAAACCAGAAAGUAUUUUUAAUCCUUCGUGAAUUAUUCAUUAAUACUUCCCACAAAACACCUCCUGCAUUCUCCAAAUGUUCUAUAAAGUGCUGCCAUUUUAGGUAGAUAAAGGCAGGAUAAAAUAACUGCAUUAAGCAAAACUCCUUUUUUCUCACAAAAAAACUACUAUAUAGUGACUUUUCACCCAUUGUCUUCUGCAGUGGAAAUAAAUCCUUUAACUGCCAAGAGAGAAAAUGCUGUAAACUGGGAUCUGUACAGGAGCUUGAGCAGUGGGACAGAUUUAAGGGCCCUUGUGUGCAUGUAUGCGAAGGACUAGAGAAUAGAAGUUCGUUCUCAAUCACUUCUUUGUGAUCCUGUUCAUAGAGAAACAAAUGUGGUACUGAUACCAAAGCAAAUAGAUGUUCAAUCCUUACAUUGUGUCCAUCAGUGUUCUGCCCACAGCAACAUGAGUGAAGUGGAACAGGGAAGAGUUCGAAGGUGAGGCCAUAAGACCUGGCUGGAGUGAUGACAUCUACAUCUGCCAGACAGAAGUCUAAAAUUUGUCAGAGAUGGAAUUUGCUAGACAUUAAGUUUAAAAGCGGACAGUGAACUUGUUCAAGUUUGGCUUCCUUUCUUACUCUUAAAGAUAUUUUCUUUAUAAAAUCAGGUGCUCUGAUAGAGCAGGUUUUUCGAUCGUUCCCCAAAAGUCUUUUCAGAAUGGAACAUUUUUUUCAACAUGUUAAACUUCCUGAACCAUCUUAAUUCUUUAUUGUUACUCCAAACCCAGCACAACAGCUUCCUGAUCUGUGCACUUAAUCUAGUAAGUUACGAUGAUCCCACUGUGGCACUCACUUGGAGCAAAAUGUUUUCUGCUUGCACAUAUAACCCAAAUCUUACACUGCAAAGCUGUGUUAAGUAGGAACAGCACAUCAAUAUUCUCUGCCUUUAGACUUUGCUGCUGCUUCAGAAUUAAAUGCACAGAGUGCAGAUGGUGAUGAGGAAGUCGUCGUGCCCAUCAUUUAGGUCAUGGGAGGAAACAGGCAGCCAAUGCAGUGAGCAGGAGGCAAGGUCUGUACUGGUUUGUUUUGGAAAUAAUGAGCAGCACUUACCAAAUCUGUCUGUGCAGGGGAACAUGCAGCAACCUUGAUCAGCAAUCAGAACUGUCUCAGGUAUUCAGAAGGGAUGGCCUUACAUAAGGAACAUUGAGCGUAAACCAACACCCUCCUUUAAUACUAAUAUUUCCCAGACCAGGGCUCUCACACACCAGUACAGUCCUUGCUGAGGGUAGGUUGCCCUUGACUACUAAAACCUGAAACCUUGAGCUGCCUAAUACAAGACACGAGAAAGAGGAAGAGGAAGAGAGAAAGCUUUUUUGUUCUGAGUAUGUUCUUGGCUAUGCAGAAAGUGCAUAUUUUGCCAUUUUGAUGCCCCGAGUGAUCAGCAAAGCUUAAUUGUUUGCUUAAGCAGCCUUUGGAGCUGUCAGAGCAAGCAAAGCUAUAAAUUGGCAGGGCUGGCCAAUGCAGUUGAGCAGCAAAAAGACUUUCAAAGAGAUGAUUUUGCUCCCAAGUGCUUAUUGUCAGCUCUUUGAGUUAAACAGAUCUUAACAACCCAAACAAAAACUCCACAGGGGAGCCUUUUACAAACAAAGGAGCCAUGCUCCAGCUACAUCAAAGCUUCCAGGCCUUUCUAACCUCCGGGGGCAGCUUGUUUCAUCUGUGGCCCCUAACGCCAUGCUAACGUCAGUCUUCCCGCCUACCAGCGAACCGUUUUUCUGGAGUUUCCUGAUCGAGCUUGAAGCUGACUUCAUUUAAGGAACAGCCUUGCUUUAGGCAGAGCACAGCCACCCCUCUGACAGAGCCCCGCUGCCCCAUGGAAGGUCUGUGAGCGCCGUGCUGUGGAGGUGCUGGGCUGGCCGUGCUGGCCCAGCUGUCUUCUGGGCAGGCUGGAGAGUCGUGGGGCAGCUCUGAAGAUAAGAUGAUGCCAUUUAUUUUUGUCUUUUCUCAUUUCCGUUUCUGUACCUCAGCCCAGUGUAAAUAAGAGAUAGUAAUAAGAGAUUGAAAUUUCUAAAAUGUUCGUGCCAGUGAAAUUCCAAGCAGGUUUAAGAAGAGCGUUACUUUUAGCGUGUUUUUUGGUGUGGUUUUGUUCAGAAUAUGGCAACAUUAAAAUUGCAGCGACAAGGGUGAUGUUCAGGUAGCUGUGAAGAACUACAACAGCUUAUCAGGAAUAAAAUUGUAAAUAUUCAUAAAAAUUGUUAAUAGCCCCACAAAGGAUUUAAAGAAUGUGUUUUUUUCGUGCAAUUGUUAAGAGACAUGUCCAGGGCAUUUCAUGCCCCAUACUCUUCAUGGUCUGAUAACAUCACUGCUCUUUAGUCCUCUUACCUAUAUGGCCUUUUCAGACAACAUUUUGCUGCCUGGAAUAAACUGAGAAGCUGUGAAGACCUUUCCUUGGUCUUCUCAUCUCAGUACCUUCCGUUUUCAUAAGCCAAAUGGGUGAUUGUGUAAUCUUAACAGUAGUACAGACUUAAAAAUAUCUUUUCACCCAGGAUCAUCCUGCUUUUCAUUGUGACUGUGUAGGCUGAAGAAUUCUGCCUUUGACAUUGUAUGUAAAGGAUUUAUUUCUGUCAUCCACCGGAACAUGCCAUACAUACUGAUUCCUCCUGAAACCUCCAUGGCUGGUUACAUUUUUAACAAUGUCUUACAGACUGCAAAGUAUCUGACAUGUCAACCAAAUGCUUAUUGUAUUAAAUGAAAAAUUAUUUUUGAUCCUGUCACAUCUAAAAUAAGUUGAAGGUGCAGGCUCCAGAUUCUUCCAAGUACUGCAUUUUCAUUCCCUUUGUCCCACUACCAAGUGUUUGGUCCAGUUGUCAGAUGGAGGCAGAGGGGAGUGAGCACAAGAGCAAAUGUUGCUUUUUUUCUGCUGGAUAAAGUCUUCUUUAAUUGUGUGGAAAUGGACAGUUGUCACAGUUCGGAGAAAUAGAUUUCAGUGGGGCAAAUGACAUCAAGGAAAAGUGUAAGCUUCCUGUGAUGGCGACUGCAGAGUGGCACAGGAAGGAUGCAGUCACUCCUGCGCCCUCAGCACAGAGCCUCGCUCGGCUUCUCUUCCCGAUUUCCCGGCGCUGCCAGAGGGCCGGGCGGCAGCAUUCCUGCCCCAGGCACAGCAAGGCCACUUCUCCCAUCCUCACCCCUCUGGUGCAUUUGGUGGAAAUGAGACUGGCUUGUUGUAAGCUCAUUUCAUUUUUACAAUUUUGCUCUUUGUCUGACAGGGCAGUAUCGUAAUUUAAGAGGAAUUUUAAUUAUUACAGAAUAUUCCUCUAGCUUAUAUGUUUUUGUACUCUUUUUGGCUUUUGGGUUGUUUUUUGUUUCUUUUUGUUUGUUGAUGUGUUCGUAAUAAAGAAUGAAUUGCUGUGACUCUGAAGUGAAGACUUUACAUCCAGUUCCAGCUUCCAGUGCAUAUUGUUUGUGCUCCCAGCAAUUUUGCUCCCAGCCUAACUCAUCUCUGCUGGAAUACCAGAUGUGGGCAUGUUAAAUUUAGGAUAUCUGUAAAGCUUUGUGUGCCUUUCGGUAGGUAGUGCAUGGUUUCAAGUGCCAAUAAAGUGUUUUCCAGCUGGCCAUUGGAAAUUCCACUGUCACCGAUAAAGCUGAAGCAGACUUCUAACUUGAAGAGAAGUCACGUUGUGAAGAGAACUCACAGAAGAGUGUCAGAGGCAGAAACAGGUUUAGGUGGGUUUGAGAGGUGCCAGAGGUCCAGAAUUUUAUGCUCACCAACUCAUCCCAUUUGCUUCAGUUUCACUGUGCUGUAAAGCCACAGGAACUCCAUGGUUACAGCUGGGGUUUGACCACUACAAAUUUUUCACUGAAUGGAUUACAUCUUUGGCUUUAAAGUUCAUACAUUCUAAAUCUGAAGCAGUUAGGAGAGAAGUUUCCCUGCUGCCAGAAUGGCAGUUGUUGAAUUAUAAAUGCAUACCCCAUCUUCUAGAAAGAGCAGACUUGAAAAUCUGGCACUAAAUAAUCUGAUUUCCAUGAAAGAUAGCAGGGGAGAGUGUUCAUGUUUUAGCUUUGUUUCUGUGAAGAGGGAUGUAACAAAAUACCUGGGAAAGCUGCAGUGAUUACAGUACCGUAAUUCUAUAGAAAAUAUGUUCUAUGCUAUUAAUGAAAUCCAUUUUUUCUUGCAGCAUUGAUGUCUCUCAUUGUCUGAUGAAGGAUACUUGCCUCUUUCAGUGCCGAGGGUAAACAGUCUCAUAAAAACCUGCCCAGCACCUUCUGAGAUCACCUCCUCCAAGCUCGAGAGUGGUCCGUCUUGAUGAGCAGGAAAGUGUGGAAAAGCCGUGGGAGGCCUGUAUGGGUGAAGGAUCUCUUGACUGACCUUGGCCAUAAAGUAAAUGCAUGCGAGACAUGGAGGCAGAGAUUUUUUAAGUACUAAGGAGCGCUGUAAUGCAACUGCAGUGGAAGAAUGCAAAGCAAGAGCUCAAGGAAUGUGAGCAUGGUCAAUUCAUGUUUUAUUCAUAUGAAUCACAGUGUUUUUCUAUGGAAUUAUUAAACUACAGAACUGCAGUACCUAUGCUGAAGCACAGCCCUUGAUUCUGAGUGGAUUUUGAGUUUUACACCUAGAUUUAGCUCUUCUGAAAAGUGAAAGUAAUUUUUUUUUUUUAAUACAAUGAAAAUGUGCAGUUAACAUAGAAAAUCACAAUUUGAAGAGUGACUGUAAGCAAGACAUGCUCAAAACCUGUUGGCAUUCCUAACAAUGAUGCAGCAAAGUGGAAAUACGCUGCAAAGGGAGAGGACACGAACAGAAAUACUUUAAACAACAAAAUGUGCUGUACAGCAGCCUGAAGGAAUGCCAGCCAUCAUGGCUCCUCGUGGGAUCCAGGUCUACCAGGGGUUGCUGUUACAAGGACGACUGUGACAACUUUCUGCUCUUGUUGUUCAAGGACGUGCAAUCUCAAGGACUGGUGCUCACUUCAGUUCCCAAAAAGUACUGUGCAGCCUUUACUGUUAUGGGAACUUCUGGUCACUUACACCAAACU